Molecule: transfer RNA, 66 nt
Filed under: marine eukaryotic metagenome
Rfam family: tRNA
About the family: Transfer RNA (tRNA) molecules are approximately 80 nucleotides in length. Their secondary structure includes four short double-helical elements and three loops (D, anti-codon, and T loops). Further hydrogen bonds mediate the characteristic L-shaped molecular structure. tRNAs have two regions of fundamental functional importance: the anti-codon, which is responsible for specific mRNA codon recognition, and the 3' end, to which the tRNAs corresponding amino acid is attached (by aminoacyl-tRNA synthetases). tRNAs cope with the degeneracy of the genetic code in two manners: having more than one tRNA (with a specific anti-codon) for a particular amino acid; and 'wobble' base-pairing, i.e. permitting non-standard base-pairing at the 3rd anti-codon position.
Source: RNAcentral
GGAUGUAGCCAAGUGGUAAGGCAUCUGUUUUUGGUACAGAGUAUCGUAGGUUCGAAUCCUACCAUC